GCAAUGGAGCCAUUAAGGGUUAUCCCAAGUGUCAAUGGUAGCCCGUAUGCGACGCUGACCAGAUUCGGAUGGGUAAUAUGUGGUUUGAAUCAGACGGCAGGCCCACCUGACGUUACAACGGUUUGCAAGACAACUGUCACUGAAGGUGAAUCUCUGGAAGAAAUGAGCAAGUCAUCAAACAACCAUAAAUACGCGGAACAUUUGCAUUGCACGAAAAGAGAGUUGUCCGCCGCAGAUCGUUUGUGGAUGAGGAAGGUGGAAAGUUCUGUUGCGUACAAAGGUGGUCAGUACAACGUCCCUCUGCACUUAACGGACGAUCAUGUCAAAUUACCGAACAUUCUUUAUUUUGUGAUUUUAGUGAUUUUAUUUUGUACAAUUGUAUCUUGCGUUGGAGAACGAUUACAGAAUGCUGACCUUGCUUAUAACGCGAAACAUCGCAUCAUAAUGUUGUCCCAUGAGAAGAACACAGAGAUGCUCAUGCAAGAUGUGCACAAAAGGCUGGGACACGCUGGACGGCAACACGUUUUGGCUGAUGUGCAAGAUGUAAUGUGGUUCUUGGAAAGAAAUGCCACGGUACGAAGGGGUUUGAGCACGUGUUUGUUUUGCAAGCGAAGAUAUCAUUCGUCUUUGGGAAGACCUUUAGAAGGCAUGACAACCAGCACAUCAAUGAAAAACGAGACUUUGGUGACUUUCAUGUGCAAAGUUGAGGCAAUUAUAAACAGCAGACCACUGACACCAGUUUCCACUGAUCACCUUGACACUGAGCCACUUUCUCCAAACCUCCUGCUACUCGCUGGUGCAGGGUACGACCUCGUUCCCGUCAAUCUUUUUGACAAAACAGACAGCAACAGUCGUAAGAGAUGGAAGCAGGCAGCUUAUUACGCGGAUAUGUUUUGGAAACGCUGGCGGGCCGAAUAUUUGCCAUUGCUCCAGGCUAGGCCACACCAUUUAAGUAGAGCUAAGCCAAAUUUAGGUGUGGGCGAUAUUGUGGUAGUGGUUGACGAAAGCGUCCCACGAGGUCAAUGGCCAUUGGGUCGAGUACUUAGGGUGAAACACAGCGCUGAUGGAUUGGUUCGCUCUGUGGAACUGCAAGUCCGGGGCACAACGCUGCAGCGCCCAGUGACGAAGAUUGUGAAACUGAUCUGACAGUAUAUGACAAGGUUGAAACCUCAGGGACAGAGGUUUCAAGGGGAGGGUGUUGUUGCGGCAACAGCAUCGAUUUAUUGCUUAUUUUGGAGUGAGGGAUCCCCCGAAACACAAGAUAAAAUCUGGCUGCAAGAGGUUACUUAGUUUCAUUAAAAUGCGUGAGAUGCAUCUUAAAAUCAACAAAAAUUCAAAAAGAUAAAGAAAGAAAGAAAAACAAGAAAGAGGAAACAAACGAAAAUGGCGUAGGCAAACUUCGAAACAAUUGAACACGAAACUAUGAAAUUGAAGUGCGAAAACGAUCGAACGUUAACGAAAACGAAACGAAAACGAUCGAAGGAAGCGAAAGAAAUUCGAACGAAGUGACGCCGAUUCAAGCGAUCGAGAAUCGCUUCAGAUGAAUUCUAUGUAUAAUUUGUGAGAUGAUCGCCAGUAUAAAUUAAGAGUUGAAAUGUG
Molecule: unclassified non-coding RNA, 1599 nt
Filed under: Amphibalanus amphitrite
Lineage: Eukaryota; Metazoa; Arthropoda; Thecostraca; Balanomorpha; Balanidae
Description: uncharacterized LOC122363614, transcript variant X2
Source: RNAcentral